Long non-coding RNA from Hippopotamus amphibius kiboko, 920 nucleotides. RefSeq lists it as uncharacterized. NCBI's taxonomy places the organism in Eukaryota, Metazoa, Chordata, Mammalia, Artiodactyla, Hippopotamidae. The record is from RefSeq and is a predicted model, not a curated record. The transcript has 4 exons.
GCCCCGCAAGCCUGGACCUAUCGCGACGCGUCGCGCUGCCGGAAGUCGCCAGCCCAGCUUUCUUCAGCGCGGCGGAAGGCGCCCUCAGAGCCCCGAGAGAGGAGGAGGGAGAAGACAGAGGAAUACGGAGUCUCCAGUGGUCCAAACUGCAUCGUCCUACCGCGUUUUAGAGCCACGACAGCCUCGGGGUGGCGGAGCGCGGCGCAGGCUUAGGAGAGGCGGAGGAGGGGUGGGGAACGCUUCCCACCCAGGACACCCAGCCCAGUGACCGGUCAGCAAGCAGCCUUCCCGGGGCUGGCAGGAAAAAGGUGCAGUCCGCGAGGUUGAAAACGGUGUGAGCAGAGUCAAGGGUAAAAAUUCUGGGCAAGCAAUCCUGAGACGCCAUUACGCCCCAAGGGCUGAGGAAGCAAGGGAAGGAGCCUUCACAGGGAAUCAUCAGAGCUGCAGGCAUAAACACAAGGCCAGCAGUGUACAGACUAUUUGUUACCAUCCAAAGAGGUUAUUGUAAGAAAGAAUGGAGAAAAAAACAUGUGGAAAGGGACUUCCUAGGUGCACAGUGGUUGAGAAUCCACCUGCCAAUGCAGGGGACACGAGUUUGAUCCCUGCUCCAGGAAGAUCCCACAUGCCUUGGAGCAACUAAGCCUGUGUGCCACAACUAUUGAGGCUGUGUGCCACAACUACUGAGGCCCGUGAACUUAGAGUCUGUGCUCUGCAACAAGAGAGGCCACCGCAAUGAGAAGCUCGAGCACCACAACAAAGAGUAGUCCCCGCUCUCUGCAACUAGAGAAAGCCCCCGCAGCAGCAAAGACCCAAUGCAGCAAAUAAAUAAAUAAAUAAAUUUAUAAAAAAUAUAUAUAUAUAUUUUACAGCCAUCAAAAUGAUACUCAUAAGUAACAGAAUUACAUGGGAAAAUUAUUUUA